Molecule: non-coding RNA, 92 nt
Organism: Mycena latifolia
Lineage: Eukaryota; Fungi; Basidiomycota; Agaricomycetes; Agaricales; Mycenaceae
Source: the annotation of a GenBank genome assembly
GGUUCGAUGGCGUAAUGGUAUCACAUCCUGCCUUAUCGUUCUUGCACAAGUGCAUCAGCAGGAAGUCCAGAGUUCAAUUUUCUGUUGAGCCA